AGCGAACGCUGGCGGCAGGCCUAACACAUGCAAGUCGAGCGCCCCGCAAGGGGAGCGGCAGACGGGAGAGUAACACGUGGGAACGUACCCUUUGGUUCGGAACAACCCAGGGAAACUUGGGCUAAUACCGGAUAAGCCCUUACGGGGAAAGAUUCAUCGCCGGAGGAUCGGCCCGCGUCUGAUUAGCUAGUUGGUGGGGUAACGGCCCACCAAGGCGACGAUCAGUAGCUGGUCCGAGAGGAUGAUCAGCCUCACUGGGACUGAGACACUGCCCAGGCUUCUGCUGGAGUCAGCAGUGGGGAAUAUUGGACAAUGGGCGCAAGCCUGAUCCAGCCAUGCCGCGUGGGUGAUGAAGGCCCUAGGGUUGUAAGGCCCUUUCGGCGGGGAAGAUAAUGACGGUACCCGCAGAAGAAGCCCCGGCUAACUUCGUGCCAGCAGCCGCGGUAA
RNAcentral lists this ribosomal RNA (447 nucleotides) under uncultured bacterium. RNAcentral's name for it is "partial 16S ribosomal RNA". It matches the Rfam family "Bacterial small subunit ribosomal RNA", at positions 29 to 523 of the family's 1533-position model. The record is from RNAcentral.